RNAcentral lists this ribosomal RNA (1106 nucleotides) under metagenome. Its description in RNAcentral is "bacterial LSU rRNA". It matches the Rfam family "Bacterial large subunit ribosomal RNA", at positions 1815 to 2925 of the family's 2925-position model. The record is from RNAcentral.
ACAGCACUCUGCAAACACGAAAGUGGACGUAUAGGGUGUGACGCCUGCCCGGUGCUGGAAGAUUAAAUGAUGGGGUGCAAGCUCUUGAUUGAAGUCCCAGUAAACGGCGGCCGUAACUAUAACGGUCCUAAGGUAGCGAAAUUCCUUGUCGGGUAAGUUCCGACCUGCACGAAUGGCGUAACGAUGGCCACACUGUCUCCUCCUGAGACUCAGCGAAGUUGAAAUGUUUGUGAUGAUGCAAUCUCCCCGCGGAAAGACGGAAAGACCCCAUGAACCUUUACUGUAGCUUUGUAUUGGACUUUGAACAGAUCUGUGUAGGAUAGGUGGGAGGCUUUGAAGCGGUGCCGCUAGGUAUCGUGGAGCCAACGUUGAAAUACCACCCUGGUGUGUUUGAGGUUCUAACCUAGGUCCAUUAUCUGGAUCGGGGACAGUGCAUGGUAGGCAGUUUGACUGGGGCGGUCUCCUCCCAAAGUGUAACGGAGGAGUUCGAAGGUACGCUAGUUACGGUCGGACAUCGUGACGAUAGUGCAAUGGCAUAAGCGUGCUUAACUGCGAGACUGACAAGUCGAGCAGAUGCGAAAGCAGGACAUAGUGAUCCGGUGGUUCUGUAUGGAAGGGCCAUCGCUCAACGGAUAAAAGGUACUCUGGGGAUAACAGGCUGAUACCGCCCAAGAGUUCAUAUCGACGGCGGUGUUUGGCACCUCGAUGUCGGCUCAUCUCAUCCUGGGGCUGUAGCCGGUCCCAAGGGUAUGGCUGUUCGCCAUUUAAAGAGGUACGUGAGCUGGGUUUAAAACGUCGUGAGACAGUUUGGUCCCUAUCUUCCGUGGGCGCUGCAGAUUUGAGGAAGCCUGCUCCUAGUACGAGAGGACCGGAGUGGACACACCUCUGGUGUAUCGGUUGUCACGCCAGUGGCAUUGCCGAGUAGCUAAGUGUGGAAGAGAUAACCGCUGAAAGCAUCUAAGCGGGAAACUCGUUUCAAGAUGAGAUCUGCCGGGGCCUUGAGCCCCCUAAAGAGUCGUUCAAGACCAGGACGUUGAUAGGUCAGGUGUGGAAGCGCAGUAAUGCGUUAAGCUAACUGAUACUAAUUGCUCGUGCGGCUUGACCCU